Molecule: ribosomal RNA, 253 nt
Filed under: uncultured bacterium
Lineage: Bacteria
Description: partial 16S ribosomal RNA
Rfam family: Bacterial small subunit ribosomal RNA
Source: RNAcentral
UACGAAGGGGGCUAGCGUUGUUCGGAAUUACUGGGCGUAAAGCGCACGUAGGCGGACUGAUCAGUCAGGGGUGAAAUCCCGGGGCUCAACCCCGGAACUGCCUUUGAUACUGUUGGUCUAGAGUUCGAGAGAGGUGAGUGGAAUUCCGAGUGUAGAGGUGAAAUUCGUAGAUAUUCGGAGGAACACCAGUGGCGAAGGCGGUUCACUGGCUCGAUACUGACGCUGAGGUGCGAAAGCGUGGGGAGCAAACAGG